AGCAGCCGCGGUAAUUCCAGCUCCAAUAGCGUAUAUUAAAGUUGCUGCAGUUAAAAAGCUCGUAGUUGGAUUUCUGGUUUGAUACAUUUUGCCGGCCACGGUUUCGUGUGUUAGUGCUUUAUGUUCUGACCAUCCUUCCAAUCGCUGCUCACUUUUCUUCAUUGAUUGGUGAGUGGUAUUGGAUCUUUUACUUUGAAAAAAU
RNAcentral lists this ribosomal RNA (202 nucleotides) under uncultured Glomus. RNAcentral describes it as "partial 18S ribosomal RNA". It matches the Rfam family "Eukaryotic small subunit ribosomal RNA", at positions 569 to 766 of the family's 1831-position model. Lineage: Eukaryota; Fungi; Glomeromycota; Glomeromycetes; Glomerales; Glomeraceae. The record is from RNAcentral.